This is a long non-coding RNA of Coffea arabica (coffee), 779 nucleotides long. RefSeq lists it as uncharacterized. The record is from RefSeq and is a predicted model, not a curated record. NCBI's taxonomy places the organism in Eukaryota, Viridiplantae, Streptophyta, Magnoliopsida, Gentianales, Rubiaceae.
CAUUUCAUUCCUCAACCACAAGACACAAUACCAUUCUUUCGGUUUCACUGACACAAACCGCAAAGUGUUAAUUCCUUCUCUGCACAAGCAACUCCUCGGACAGAAGCUUCAGCACCGCACCAUUCAACCAAUCAAAAUUCACUACCAACUUCACACUCAACCGUAAACCACUCCUCUCCACAAACCGCGACUCCACCUUCAUUCUUUCUCUUCACUUCGCACCAGCCAUCCAAGAGCUGCUACAAUUUUUCUUUCCUGCUGCUGUCCGUAAGGUCGAGGGACAUAAGAGAAGCCGUGAGCGAAUCCUUCAUCCAGCUUCCACUUCCAUCGGCUGCACCCAGUUUUCCAGCCGCAACAACCACCCCAGCUCCACCAUCUGCUCAGCCAAGACAACCCAAACUGGAACUCGACCUGCACGUGAAGCCGGGAGAGAGAGAGAGAGGGAGCAGAAAUUUUUCAGAUUUUCGUGUGUGAUCUUAGCUUGCUUUGAGGAUAUUGCGAGGACGCGGAAUUCGAUUUCCAAUUUGACAUCUGAACUUCACUCUUGGAUGUGAAGUUGAAAGUACUUGAGCAGCUUAUAUUUCUUAGGGUUGUACUUGAACAAUUUGAAAGUAAUUUUCGGUUUGUAACGGAUUCUAAGCUAAGCAUUGUACUUUUCGUUUUGGGUUGCCACUUGAAGCUGGAAAAGUGUAAUCUCUAAUUCUAAUACUCAAUUUGUAUGUUUGUGUUAGUAUAGUAAAUCCUUAUCUUUUACGAGCGUCGCUGGAAGUAUUUAAGAA